This 413-nucleotide RNase P RNA is filed under the name Pelagivirga sediminicola. RNAcentral describes it as "Bacterial RNase P class A". It matches the Rfam family "Bacterial RNase P class A". From Rfam's summary of the family: Ribonuclease P (RNase P) is a ubiquitous endoribonuclease, found in archaea, bacteria and eukarya as well as chloroplasts and mitochondria. The record is from Rfam by way of RNAcentral. Lineage: Bacteria; Pseudomonadati; Pseudomonadota; Alphaproteobacteria; Rhodobacterales; Paracoccaceae.
GCGGAGGGCUGGAUGGCCGCUUUGGCAGGGGCAACCCUGCCGGGGAGGAAAGUCCGGACUCCACAAGGCAACGGUGCCGGGUAACGCCCGGCCGGAGCAAUCCGAGGGAAAGCGCCACAGAAAACAGACCGUGCCCGUUUAUCGGGCGUAAGGGUGAAACGGUGGGGUAAGAGCCCACCGCGGGGCUGGCAACAGCACCGGCACGGCAAGCCCCACCGGGAGCAAUGCCAAAUAGGGACCGCGCGCGGGGCAGGUCGGGUUUCCCGAUACCGCCCGCAGGCACGUCUUGGCCCGGCGGUCCGGGUUGGCAGCCAAAGGGGCGGUGGCAACAUCGUCUUCAGAUGAAUGGUCAUCCAGGGGGCGGGUCUUGGCCCGUCUCUGGACAGAAUCCGGCUUACAGGCCCUCCGCGCAU